Molecule: ribosomal RNA, 204 nt
Filed under: uncultured bacterium
Lineage: Bacteria
Description: partial 16S ribosomal RNA
Rfam family: Bacterial small subunit ribosomal RNA
Source: RNAcentral
GACGAACGCUGGCGGCGUGCCUAACACAUGCAAGUUGAGCGACGAACCAGGGCUUGCCCUGGGGCAAAGCAGCGAACGGGUGAGUAACACGUGGGUAACCUGCCCCGAUGACCGGGACAACCCGAGGAAACUCGAGCUAAUACCGGAUGUGGCCACUGGACUCAAGUCCGGUUGUCAAAGGAAGCUUCGGCCUCCGCAUUGGGA